This 422-nucleotide ribosomal RNA is filed under the name uncultured bacterium. Its description in RNAcentral is "bacterial SSU rRNA". It matches the Rfam family "Bacterial small subunit ribosomal RNA", at positions 794 to 1229 of the family's 1533-position model. The record is from RNAcentral.
UCCACGCCCUAAACGAUGGAUACUAGUCAUUGGUGGCUUCGACCCCCCCAGUGACGAAGCUAACGCGUUAAGUAUCCCGCCUGGGGAGUACGGUCGCAAGACUAAAACUCAAAGGAAUUGACGGGGACCCGCACAAGCGGUGGAGCAUGUGGUUUAAUUGGAUGGUAAGCCGGGCACCUCACCAAGAUUUGACAUCCUGAUGAAAGGCACUAGAAAUAGAGCCCCUCGCAAGACAUCAGAGACAGGUGCUGCACGGUUGUCGUCAGCUCGUGUUGUGAAAUGUACCGUUAAGUCGGAUAACGAGCGCAACCCCUUUUGCCAGUUACAAGUGUCUGGCGAUACUGCCGUGGUUAACACGGAGGAAGGUGGGGAUGACGUCAAAUCAGCGUGGCCUUUAUAUCUUGGGCGACACACGUGCUACA